CAAACGGUCCUUUUCAGAACCACCAAAUUAUUUAACGGUGGAACAU
Solenopsis invicta (red fire ant) is the source of this 46-nucleotide non-coding RNA. NCBI's taxonomy places the organism in Eukaryota, Metazoa, Arthropoda, Insecta, Hymenoptera, Formicidae. The record is from Rfam.